RNAcentral lists this microRNA (22 nucleotides) under Monodelphis domestica (gray short-tailed opossum). Its description in RNAcentral is "mdo-miR-12297i-5p". Lineage: Eukaryota; Metazoa; Chordata; Mammalia; Didelphimorphia; Didelphidae. The record is from miRBase by way of RNAcentral.
CUUUGCGUGGCGCCUCGUUCUU